GACAGAGGGGGCAAGCGUUGCUCGGAAUCACUGGGCGUAAAGGGCGCGUAGGCGGGAUGGCAAGUCGGUCGUGAAAUCCUUCGGCCCAACCGAAGAACGUCGGCCGAUACUGCCAUUCUUGAGGGAUGCAGAGGAGACUGGAAUUCCCGGUGUAGCGGUGAAAUGUGUAGAGAUCGGGAGGAACACCGGUGGCGAAGGCGGGUCUCUGGGCAUUUCCUGACGCUGAGGCGCGAAAGCUAGGGGAGCGAACAGG
RNAcentral lists this ribosomal RNA (253 nucleotides) under uncultured bacterium. RNAcentral describes it as "partial 16S ribosomal RNA". It matches the Rfam family "Bacterial small subunit ribosomal RNA", at positions 524 to 776 of the family's 1533-position model. The record is from RNAcentral.